AUGAACGCUGGCGGCGUGCCUAAUACCUGCAAGUCGAGCGAACAGACGAGGAGCUUGCUCCUCUGACGUUAGCGGCGGACGGGUGAGUAACACGUGGAUAACCUACCUAUAAGACUGGGAUAACUUCGGGAAACCGGAGCUAAUACCGGAUAAUAUAUUGAACCGCAUGGUUCAAUAGUGAAAGACGGUUUUGCUGUCACUUAUAGAUGGAUCCGCGCCGCAUUAGCUAGUUGGUAAGGUAACGGCUUACCAAGGCAACGAUGCGUAGCCGACCUGAGAGGGUGAUCGGCCACACUGGAGCUGAGACACGGUCCAGACUCCUACGGGAGGCAGCAGUAGGGAAUCUUCCGCAAUGGGCGAAAGCCUGACGGAGCAACGCCGCGUGAGUGAUGAAGGUCUUCGGAUCGUAAAACUCUGUUAUUAGGGAAGAACAAAUGUGUAAGUAACUAUGCACGUCUUGACGGUACCUAAUCAGAAAGCCACGGCUAACUACGUG
RNAcentral lists this ribosomal RNA (496 nucleotides) under uncultured bacterium. RNAcentral's name for it is "partial 16S ribosomal RNA". It matches the Rfam family "Bacterial small subunit ribosomal RNA", at positions 29 to 507 of the family's 1533-position model. The record is from RNAcentral.